UAUCUCUGUAGAGUCUGCAUAUCAAUAAGCGGAGGAAAAGAAACUAACUAGGAUUCCCUCAGUAACGGCGAGUGAAGCGGGAAGAGCUCAAAUUUGAAAUCUUCAAGGUUCUACCUUGACGAAUUGUAGUUUAAAGAAGUGUUUUCUGUUGGAGUUUUGGUAAAAGUUCUUUGGAAUAGGACAUCAUAGAGGGUGAGAAUCCCGUAUUUGACCAUUAUUUCCAGCUUUGUGAUACACUUUCAAAGAGUCGGAUUGUUUGGGAAUGCAGUCCAAAAUGGGUGGUAAAUUUCAUCUAAAGCUAAAUAUUGGCGAGAGACCGAUAGCGAACAAGUACCGUGAGGGAAAGAUGAAAAGAACUUUGAAAAGAGAGUUAAACAGUACGUGAAAUUGUCAAAAGGGAAGCGUUUGACACCAGUGUUGUUUUCUCGAAAAUCAAUUAAAAAAGGCAGGAUUUUGUGUUGUAUUGACUUUAUCAGCUUUCUGCACUCUUUUCUUGUCUUUUUCUAAUGCACUUUUCGUUUAACAAGUCAACAUCAAUUUCUUUUGUUGUAAAAGGGUCAUUGGAAGGUGGCUUUCUUUUCGGAGAAAGUGUUUAUAGCCUUUGGCCUCUGCAAUCGGAGAGAUUGAGGUCUGCAGCGUAGAUCCUUCAGGGUUAGAUACAUUUGUGCUAAGUUAUAGCCUUUCAUAGACAACUUGUUGACUAUGAUCAGUCAUGUAGCUUACUCGCUUAUGCUAUUUUACCUACGCUUAGGAUGUUGAUAGUCACAGCGUGUAC
RNAcentral lists this ribosomal RNA (775 nucleotides) under uncultured Neocallimastigales. Its description in RNAcentral is "partial large subunit ribosomal RNA". It matches the Rfam family "Eukaryotic large subunit ribosomal RNA", at positions 24 to 629 of the family's 3401-position model. The record is from RNAcentral. Lineage: Eukaryota; Fungi; Neocallimastigomycota; Neocallimastigomycetes; Neocallimastigales.